CCGGUAAACGGCGGCCGUAACUAUAACGGUCCUAAGGUAGCGAAAUUCCUUGUCGGGUAAGUUCCGACCUGCACGAAUGGCGUAAUGAUGGCCAGGCUGUCUCCACCCGAGACUCAGUGAAAUUGAACUCGCUGUGAAGAUGCAGUGUACCCGCGGCAAGACGGAAAGACCCCGUGAACCUUUACUAUAGCUUGACACUGAACAUUGAGCCUUGAUGUGUAGGAUAGGUGGGAGGCUUUGAAGUGUGGACGCCAGUCUGCAUGGAGCCGACCUUGAAAUACCACCCUUUAAUGUUUGAUGUUCUAACGUUGGCCCCUAAUCGGGGUUGCGGACAGUGUCUGGUGGGUAGUUUGACUGGGGCGGUCUCCUCCUAAAGAGUAACGGAGGAGCACGAAGGUUGGCUAAUCCUGGUCGGACAUCAGGAGGUUAGUGCAAUGGCAUAAGCCAGCUUGACUGCGAGCGUGACGGCGCGAGCAGGUGCGAAAGCAGGUCAUAGUGAUCCGGUGGUUCUGAAUGGAAGGGCCAUCGCUCAACGGAUAAAAGGUACUCCGGGGAUAACAGGCUGAUACCGCCCAAGAGUUCAUAUCGACGGCGGUGUUUGGCACCUCGAUGUCGGCUCAUCACAUCCUGGGGCUGAAGUAGGUCCCAAGGGUAUGGCUGUUCGCCAUUUAAAGUGGUACGCGAGCUGGGUUUAGAACGUCGUGAGACAGUUCGGUCCCUAUCUGCCGUGGGCGCUGGAGAACUGAGGGGGGCUGCUCCUAGUACGAGAGGACCGGAGUGGACGCAUCACUGGUGUUCGGGUUGUCAUGCCAAUGGCACUGCCCGGUAGCUAAAUGCGGAAGAGAUAAGUGCUGAAAGCAUCUAAGCACGAAACUUGCCCCGAGAUGAGUUCUCCCUG
This 898-nucleotide ribosomal RNA is filed under the name Escherichia coli. RNAcentral describes it as "partial 23S ribosomal RNA". It matches the Rfam family "Bacterial large subunit ribosomal RNA", at positions 1920 to 2817 of the family's 2925-position model. The record is from RNAcentral. Lineage: Bacteria; Pseudomonadati; Pseudomonadota; Gammaproteobacteria; Enterobacterales; Enterobacteriaceae.